This 756-nucleotide ribosomal RNA is filed under the name uncultured bacterium. Its description in RNAcentral is "bacterial SSU rRNA". It matches the Rfam family "Bacterial small subunit ribosomal RNA", at positions 8 to 796 of the family's 1533-position model. The record is from RNAcentral.
AGAGUUUGAUCAUGGCUCAGAAUCAACGCUGGCGGCGUGCCUAACACAUGCAAGUCGCACGAGAAAGGGGAGCAAUCCCUGAGUAAAGUGGCGCACGGGUGAGUAACACGUGAAUGAUCUACCUCCGAGUGGGGAAUAACUGAGAGAAAUCUUAGCUAAUACCGCAUAACACUUACGAGUCAAAGCAGCAAUGCGCUUGGAGAGGAGUUCGCGGUCGAUUAGUUAGUUGGCGGGGUAAUGGCCCACCAAGACGAUGAUCGGUAUCCGGCCUGAGAGGGCGCACGGACACACUGGAACUGAAACACGGUCCGGACUCCUACGGGAGGCAGCAGUGGGGAAUUUUGCGCAAUGGGGGAAACCCUGACGCAGCAACGCCGCGUGGAGGAUGAAAUAUCUUGGUAUGUAAACUCCUUUCGAUGGGGAAGAUUAUGACGGUACCCAUAGAAGAAGCCCCGGCUAACUUCGUGCCAGCAGCCGCGGUAAUACGAGGGGGGCAAGCGUUGUUCGGAUUUAUUGGGCGUAAAGGGUGCGUAGGCGGUUUGGCAAGUCUGAUGUGAAAUCUAUGGGCUCAACCCAUAGUCUGCAUCAGAAACUGCCGGGCUUGAGUAUGGGAGAGGUGAGUGGAAUUUCCGGUGUAGCGGUGAAAUGCGUAGAUAUCGGAAGGAACACCUGUGGCGAAAGCGGCUCACUGGACCAUAACUGACGCUGAUGCACGAAAGCUAGGGGAGCAAACAGGAUUAGAUACCCCAGUAGUCC